Molecule: ribosomal RNA, 501 nt
Filed under: uncultured bacterium
Lineage: Bacteria
Description: bacterial SSU rRNA
Rfam family: Bacterial small subunit ribosomal RNA
Source: RNAcentral
GAUGAACGCUAGCGGCAGGCUUAACACAUGCAAGUCGAGGGGCAGCACGAUGUAGCAAUACAUUGGUGGCGACCGGCGCACGGGUGCGUAACACGUAUGGAAUCUGCCUUGUACUGGGAGAUAGCCCGGAGAAAUCCGGAUUAAUAUCCCAUAACAGCUUGGGUGGCAUCACUCGGGUUUGAAAGCUCCGGCGGUACAAGAUGACCAUGCGCACGAUUAGCUAGUUGGUGAGGUAACGGCUCACCAAGGCUACGAUCGUUAGGGGGCCUGAGAGGGUUAUCCCCCACACUGGUACUGAGACACGGACCAGACUCCUACGGGAGGCAGCAGUGAGGAAUAUUGCGCAAUGGAGGCAACUCUGACGCAGCCAUGCCGCGUGCAGGAAGAAGGCGCUACGCGUUGUAAACUGCUUUUAACCGGGAAGAAACCCCAGGACGUGUCCUGGGUUGACGGUACCGGAGGAAUAAGCACCGGCUAACUUCGUGCCAGCAGCCGCGGUAA